RNAcentral lists this ribosomal RNA (497 nucleotides) under uncultured bacterium. RNAcentral's name for it is "partial 16S ribosomal RNA". It matches the Rfam family "Bacterial small subunit ribosomal RNA", at positions 28 to 507 of the family's 1533-position model. The record is from RNAcentral.
GAUGAACGCUGGCGGCGUGCCUAAUACAUGCAAGUCGAGCGAACGGACGAGAAGCUUGCUUCUCUGAUGUUAGCGGCGGACGGGUGAGUAACACGUGGAUAACCUACCUAUAAGACUGGGAUAACUUCGGGAAACCGGAGCUAAUACCGGAUGAUAUUUUGAACCGCAUGGUUCAAAAGUGAAAGACGGUCUUGCUGUCACUUAUGGAUGGAUCCGCGCUGCAUUAGCUAGUUGGUAAGGUAACGGCUUACCAAGGCAACGAUGCAUAGCCGACCUGAGAGGGUGAUCGGCCACACUGGAGCUGAGACACGGUCCAGACUCCUACGGGAGGCAGCAGUAGGGAAUCUUCCGCAAAGGGCGAAAGCCUGACGGAGCAACGCCGCGUGAGUGAUGAAGGUCUUCGGAUCGUAAAACUCUGUUAUUAGGGAAGAACAUAUGUGUAAGUAACUGUGCACAUCUUGACGGUACCUAAUCAGAAAGCCACGGCUAACUACGUG